CCUAGGGAGGCAGCAGUGGGGAAUAUUGGACAAUGGGCGAAAGCCUGAUCCAGCAAUGCCGCGUGAGUGAUGAAGGCCUUCGGGUCGUAAAGCUCUUUUACCAGGGAUGAUAAUGACAGUACCUGGAGAAUAAGCUCCGGCUAACUCCGUGCCAGCAGCCGCGGUAAUACGGAGGGAGCUAGCGUUGUUCGGAAUUACUGGGCGUAAAGAGUACGUAGGCGGUUAUUCAAGUCAGAGGUGAAAGCCCGGGGCUCAACCCCGGAACUGCCUUUGAAACUAGAUAACUAGAGUCUUGGAGAGGUUAGUGGAAUUCCGAGUGUAGAGGUGAAAUUCGUAGAUAUUCGGAAGAACACCAGUGGCGAAGGCGACUAACUGGACAAGUACUGACGCUGAGGUACGAAAGCGUGGGGAGCAAACAGGAUUAGAUACCCUGGUAGUCCACGCCGUAAACGAUGAUAACUAGUUGUUCGGUCACUUGGUGACUGAGUGAGCANCACACAUAUUAUCGCGUGGNGGUAGUCGCAGAGUAAACUACAAUAGAGUAGACGCGUGUAGAGUUGCGACGACGACGACGAGGAGGAGG
This 583-nucleotide ribosomal RNA is filed under the name uncultured bacterium. RNAcentral's name for it is "bacterial SSU rRNA". The stretch from base 1 to 510 matches the Rfam family "Bacterial small subunit ribosomal RNA", at positions 338 to 873 of the family's 1533-position model. The record is from RNAcentral.